RNAcentral lists this ribosomal RNA (211 nucleotides) under uncultured bacterium. RNAcentral's name for it is "partial 16S ribosomal RNA". It matches the Rfam family "Bacterial small subunit ribosomal RNA", at positions 338 to 541 of the family's 1533-position model. The record is from RNAcentral.
CCUACGGGAGGCAGCAGUGGGGAAUAUUGGACAAUGGGCGAAAGCCUGAUCCAGCCAUGCCGCGUGUGUGAAGAAGGUCUUCGGAUUGUAAAGCACUUUAAGUUGGGAGGAAGGGCAUUAACCUAAUACGUUAGUGCUUUGACGUUACCGACAGAAUAAGCACCGGCUAACUCUGUGCCAGCAGCCGCGGUAAUACAGAGGGUGCAAGCGU